Molecule: unclassified non-coding RNA, 601 nt
Filed under: Cormus domestica
Lineage: Eukaryota; Viridiplantae; Streptophyta; Magnoliopsida; Rosales; Rosaceae
Description: sequence contains ITS1, 5.8S rRNA gene, ITS2
Rfam family: 5.8S ribosomal RNA (bases 227-382)
Source: RNAcentral
UAUACCCCAACCUGCACGGCAGUAACGACCCGAGGAACCGGUUUCAACGUUCGGGGGCCGGCGGGCCUUCGGGCUCGGCGUCCCUUUAUCCCGGGAGCCCGCUCCCGGGCGUACAAAUCGAACACCGGCGCGUGCUGCGCCAAGGAACUCGAACGAAAGAGCGAGCUCCCGCCGCCCCAGAAACGGUGCGCGCGCGGGCGCGUCGUCGUCUUCAGUAUGUCAAAACGACUCUCGGCAACGGAUAUCUCGGCUCUCGCAUCGAUGAAGAACGUAGCGAAAUGCGAUACUUGGUGUGAAUUGCAGAAUCCCGUGAACCAUCGAGUCUUUGAACGCAAGUUGCGCCCGAAGCCGUCAGGCCGAGGGCACGCCUGCCUGGGCGUACAACGCCGUUGCCCCUCCACGCCCUCCAUCGGGAGCGUCCGGGGAGCGGACGAUGGCCUACCGUGCGUCACCCCGCGCGGUUUGGCACAAAUGCCGGGUCCUCGGCGACGAACGCCACAGACAAUCGGUGGUCGUCCGACCUCGGUUGCCCGUUGUGCGCCUUNNUNCCCUAAAAANNGNUUNGNAANCUUGNUGNUNCGGGAAACCCUNGANNUUUUAA